RNAcentral lists this ribosomal RNA (496 nucleotides) under uncultured bacterium. Its description in RNAcentral is "partial 16S ribosomal RNA". It matches the Rfam family "Bacterial small subunit ribosomal RNA", at positions 28 to 506 of the family's 1533-position model. The record is from RNAcentral.
GAUGAACGCUGGCGGCGUGCCUAAUACAUGCAAGUCGAGCGAACAGACGAGGAGCUUGCUCCUCUGACGUUAGCGGCGGACGGGUGAGUAACACGUGGAUAACCUACCUAUAAGACUGGGAUAACUUCGGGAAACCGGAGCUAAUACCGGAUAAUAUAUUGAACCGCAUGGUUCAAUAGUGAAAGACGGUUUUGCUGUCACUUAUAGAUGGAUCCGCGCCGCAUUAGCUAGUUGGUAAGGUAACGGCUUACCAAGGCGACGAUGCGUAGCCGACCUGAGAGGGUGAUCGGCCACACAGGAACUGAGACACGGUCCAGACUCCUACGGGAGGCAGCAGUAGGGAAUCUUCCGCAAUGGGCGAAAGCCUGACGGAGCAACGCCGCGUGAGUGAUGAAGGUCUGCGGAUCGUAAAACUCUGUUAUUAGGGAAGAACAAAUGUGUAAGUAACGAUGCACGUCUUGACGGUACCUAAACAGAAAGCCACGGCUAACUACGU